Molecule: ribosomal RNA, 446 nt
Filed under: uncultured bacterium
Lineage: Bacteria
Description: bacterial SSU rRNA
Rfam family: Bacterial small subunit ribosomal RNA
Source: RNAcentral
UGCAAGUCGAACGAGCGAAAGAGUGCUGCACUCUCUAGCUAGUGGCGGACGGGUGAGUAACACGUGAGCAAUCUGCUUUCGGUGGGGGAUACCAUUUGGAAACGAAUGUUAAUACCCCAUAACAUAGAGAAGCCGCAUGACUUUUCUACCAAAGGUUUACUGCCGGAAGAUGAGCUCGCGUCUGAUUAGGUAGUUGGUGAGGUAACGGCUCACCAAGCCGACGAUCAGUAGCCGGACUGAGAGGUUGAACGGCCACAUUGGGACUGAGACACGGCCCAGACUCCUACGGGAGGCAGCAGUGGGGAAUAUUGCACAAUGGGCGAAAGCCUGAAUGCAGCGAUGCCGCGUGAGGGAAGAAGGUUUUAGGAUUGUAAACCUCUGUCUUUGGGGACGAUAAUGACGGUACCCAAGGAGGAAGCUCCGGCUAACUACGUGCCAGCCGCAGC